UGUGGUUAGGGGUGAAAGGCCAAUCAAACUCGGAAAUAGCUGGUUCUCCGCGAAAUCUAUUUAGGUAGAGCCUCGCAUGUAUCCCUCAGGGGGUAGAGCACUGGAUGGGCUAGGGGGACUUACCGUCUUACCAAACCUAACCAAACUCCGAAUACCUGGAAGAACUGUGCGGGAGGCACACGGCGGGUGCUAACGUCCGUUGG
RNAcentral lists this ribosomal RNA (203 nucleotides) under Pavlova sp. CCMP459. RNAcentral's name for it is "partial Bacterial large subunit ribosomal RNA". It matches the Rfam family "Bacterial large subunit ribosomal RNA", at positions 810 to 1011 of the family's 2925-position model. Lineage: Eukaryota; Haptophyta; Pavlovophyceae; Pavlovales; Pavlovaceae. The record is from RNAcentral.